UUCUAGGGUCAUGCCAGCCUGAAUGUACUUGAUCUUUUCUGAUCUUAGAAGCUGAGCAGGGUUGGGCCUGCUUGAUACUUGGAUGGGAGAAGUUCACACGCCCCAUUUACAGCCAUGUCACCCUGUACG
Molecule: ribosomal RNA, 129 nt
Filed under: Carlito syrichta (Philippine tarsier)
Lineage: Eukaryota; Metazoa; Chordata; Mammalia; Primates; Tarsiidae
Source: RNAcentral